UAAAUUUUAAGUUAUAUAAACUAAGAACCUUCAAAGUUCUCAAAAAGAGUAAUCUUAAGUUUAU
This 64-nucleotide transfer RNA is filed under the name Metacrangonyx sp. 4 MDMBR-2012. RNAcentral describes it as "transfer RNA Tryptophan". The record is from RNAcentral. Lineage: Eukaryota; Metazoa; Arthropoda; Malacostraca; Amphipoda; Metacrangonyctidae.